GAUCAUGGCUCAGGAUGAACGCUAGCUACAGGCUUAACACAUGCAAGUCGAGGGGCAGCAUGGUCUUAGCUUGCUAAGGCCGAUGGCGACCGGCGCACUGGUGAGUAACACGUAUCCAACCUGCCGUCUACUCUUGGACAGCCUUCUGAAAGGAAGAUUAAUACAAUAUGGCAUCAUGAGUUCACAUGUUCACAUGAUUAAAGGUAUUCCGGUAGACGAUGGGG
This 224-nucleotide ribosomal RNA is filed under the name uncultured bacterium. RNAcentral's name for it is "partial 16S ribosomal RNA". It matches the Rfam family "Bacterial small subunit ribosomal RNA", at positions 15 to 230 of the family's 1533-position model. The record is from RNAcentral.